Numida meleagris (helmeted guineafowl) is the source of this 1161-nucleotide long non-coding RNA. RefSeq lists it as uncharacterized. The record is from RefSeq and is a predicted model, not a curated record. The transcript has 4 exons. Lineage: Eukaryota; Metazoa; Chordata; Aves; Galliformes; Numididae.
UGAGGUCACUACCGCGUUUCCUCUCAAGGUAGGCAGAAAGGGCAGCUUAGAAGCUCGCAGCAAACUGCAGAGUAAGUGCAGCGCAGUAAGAGUUUUCCUAUUUAGAUAAAUGUCAAUUCUGUGAUGUUAGGCACUGCACGGUCCUUGCAGAAAUGCAGUUUCCACCCUACGUGGAAGAGUACAACGAGGAAGCCAAGAGGUUUUGCUUAGCUUUGAGGCAAAGAUGUAUAAAGACUGUUUACGAAUGAAAUAUUCAUGUGUUCCAGGGUGUUUUUCAGUUUCUUGAACAUCCGGCUUGAGCUUGAUCUUUAGAAAUGUCUUCAACUACCACCGCAUGGCAAGCCAGGCCUUCAAGACCUCAAAGCUAUGUUGAAUAUAAAGUCAAAGUAUUGGUGACACUGAACCAAUGCCAAAAUGACUGAUACAGACCCCCCUUUUCUGUCUAGAAUCAGUGUUUACUUACAGAAAAGUGUCAACAAAAAAAGAUAAAACCCAGCCAUGCUGACAGGUUUGCUGUGGGGAAGGAGGCUAUCUCCAUGCUGCUCCCAGUGUGCUCACCACACAGUUUCAGUUUGGGCUCCUGCAGGAAGCAGGGGGGAGGAAAGAGAAACAGUGGCUCCCCUGUAUCCAAAGCAGAGAAAACUCAGUAGACGUAACCAAGUAACCUUGUAUUUGUGUGUCCGUUUCCCAUUAUUCUGGCAGCUGAAUAUUGCAAAGGAGAGGUUUUAGCUCUUCUCAUACAUGGCAAACAGUUACCAGGUUUCUCUUGGCUCUGUCUUCAGUCAUGUUCACUGGCAGAAAGCACUAUUAGCUUGGAACAAAUCUCUCAAGGAGAAAGAUGUAUUUUUCUAGGCAUUCCGCCCAGAAUGAGACAAUUCAUUUUGCAUGUCACUGUGAAUGACACACAACCUUUAAAAAAGGUUUAAAAAGCCCUCUCUGAUGCACUCCCCUACUCUGUAGAAGAGGCUCUCUUCAUCGCUGCCUGUGAAUGCCAACAAACAGCCAUCCUACCUGCCAGGAGGGCCAUUGUUUUGACAGGUAUCAAUGGACUUCCCAGAGGGCAGGAUCAGCUUCAUGCUCAGCCUCACCUCCAUCCAAAGUGUCUAUUGGUCAACAAUGAGAAAGUGACUAGCUGAAUAUUUGGAUCUGUGCAAGAUGGAC